This is a long non-coding RNA of Syngnathoides biaculeatus (alligator pipefish), 856 nucleotides long. RefSeq lists it as uncharacterized. The transcript is spliced from 3 exons. NCBI's taxonomy places the organism in Eukaryota, Metazoa, Chordata, Actinopteri, Syngnathiformes, Syngnathidae. The record is from RefSeq and is a predicted model, not a curated record.
AUCAUAAAUCCUGCCAACUGAUUCUUAGCAUGGGUGUUAAACUGAAAAGAAAUCAAGGGAACGGGCCACGCCAACAAUGUUCAUCCCCCUUUUAAUUCAUUUUAUGCCUCACUUGUUUUAUUUCUUAUUCUGCAUUUUUCGCCUCGUUUGUUUUCCCGGGUUUCAGUUUCUUUUCACUGUGUACUCCGCUGACCACUUUGGAGGUGCCGCUGCUCCGAAACGUGCUGUAGAAAUAAACGUGGCCUCCUGCGUCUCAUCAAGGAUUAUAUUUCAUCUGUUCAAGCAGCCUUUUAGAAUGAUAGCGGAGGAGGGUGGAGACCCUGCCCGUCCGCCUUUGACGAGCUCCUUUCUCACACAGGCAAGUUGGAGGCAUACAAGCAAACUCACAAGCUGCCACACUUGGCACAGCGGAACUAUUGGGUUUGCCAACGCAGCGGCCAUGUUCUCCUAAGGACUGCUUUUUCUUUUUAUUGAGGAUGAGGAGGAGCCAAUCUGCUGAUUUUGAGAGAUAGGCAGGGUAUGCACUGGACUGGUUGCCAGUCAGUCCCACUGCACAAGACUGCCAAGAACCCAUUCAUGCUUAUAAUGUGUGUACAAUUUGGAUUCAAAUUUAAUUCCCAUUACAUGUAGAACACAACAGGCUCAUGUUUAUGCUUACUAAUUAUCAAUUGGAAUAUUGAUGGUUUUGUAAUUUCAUAGUGAUACACUGGUGCGGCUGCUUUGUCAAGUCAAAUGUGUUCGGAUUUGGAUUCUCAAUUUACCCUGUUCUGUUUUUGGUUUUGUUCCUAGUCUGGACUGUUCAAUAAAUGUGAAGUUGUCAGCGUUAUAGUCAUGACAAUAAAGUUCUUGUGCUUGU